Molecule: ribosomal RNA, 429 nt
Filed under: Chloroflexota bacterium
Lineage: Bacteria; Bacillati; Chloroflexota
Description: Chloroflexi bacterium partial 16S ribosomal RNA
Rfam family: Bacterial small subunit ribosomal RNA
Source: RNAcentral
UGGGGAAUAUUGCACAAUGGGCGCAAGCCUGAUGCAGCCAUGCCGCGUGUGUGAAGAAGGCCUUCGGGUUGUAAAGUACUUUCAGCGGGGAGGAAGGGAGUAAAGUUAAUACCUUUGCUCAUUGACGUUACCCGCAGAAGAAGCACCGGCUAACUCCGUGCCAGCAGCCGCGGUAAUACGGAGGGUGCAAGCGUUAAUCGGAAUUACUGGGCGUAAAGCGCACGCAGGCGGUUUGUUAAGUCAGAUGUGAAAUCCCCGGGCUCAACCUGGGAACUGCAUCGGAUACUGGCAAGCUUGAGUCUCGGAGAGGGGGGUAGAAUUCCAGGUGUAGCGGUGAAAUGCGUAGAGAUCUGGAGGAAUACCGGUGGCGAAGGCGGCUCCCUGGACGAAGACUGACGCUCAGGUGCGAAAGCGUGGGGAGCAAACAGG